This 468-nucleotide ribosomal RNA is filed under the name uncultured bacterium. RNAcentral's name for it is "partial 16S ribosomal RNA". It matches the Rfam family "Bacterial small subunit ribosomal RNA", at positions 28 to 507 of the family's 1533-position model. The record is from RNAcentral.
GACGAACGCUGGCGGCGUGCUUAACACAUGCAAGUCGAACGGAAAGGCCCUGCUUUUGUGGGGUGCUCGGGUGGCGAACGGGUGAGUAACACGUGAGUAACCUGCCCUUGACUUUGGGAUAACUUCAGGAAACUGGGGCUAAUACCGGAUAGGAGCUCCUGCUGCACGGUGGGGGUUGGAAAGUUUCGGCGGUUGGGGAUGGACUCGCGGCUUAUCAGCUUGUUGGUGGGGUAGUGGCUUACCAAGGCUUUGACGGGUAGCCGGCCUGGGAGGGUGACCGGCCACAUUGGGACUGAGAUACGGCCCAGACUCCUACGGGAGGCAGCAGUGGGGAAUAUUGCACGAUGGGCGGAAGCCUGAUGCAGCAACGCCGCGUGCGGGAUGACGGCCUUCGGGUUGUAAACCGCUUUCGCCUGUGACGAAGCGUGAGUGACGGUAAUGGGUAAAGAAGCACCGGCUAACUACGUG